This is a long non-coding RNA of Drosophila sulfurigaster albostrigata, 595 nucleotides long. RefSeq lists it as uncharacterized. Lineage: Eukaryota; Metazoa; Arthropoda; Insecta; Diptera; Drosophilidae. The record is from RefSeq and is a predicted model, not a curated record. The transcript has 3 exons.
UAUAAAUUUACUUGUAUUCAAAAAUCUUUUUUUUUUAAGUAUUAACCAAUUUAAAAAGGAAAAUUCAAAUAAGAAUAAUUGUACCAAUUGGGCUUUAGUGUGUUUAUUGUACAUUGAAUCCCGUUCCAGCACUACGACGGAGAUCGACCACCGCCGCAGGAGUUCUGGGGGGCGCAGCGAAAAAAGAGGAUCGAUUUGUGGAAGCAAGACCACCACCCCCAAAGCCGACGAGCUAGAGCCGGAUGCUAUAGCGUGCCCCGCACCCUCAGAUCGCCCAGUUCAGCCUAGCGUUGUUUAUCGUUGCACGUUACAGUGUCUACAUGCUCGCCUAUAUUUGCAUGUUUAUGCAUAUGAAGUAUUUCAAUGUGCAGUUGCCUCGCAGACAACCAGCUAACGCACGUCAAUUUUGAAGAAGACGAAAACAAUAGCUUGUGUCUGAGAUGUUUGCAGUUAAAUGAAGCCUGCACAAGGUCUGCGUUGGCUCUGCCGAGAGUUUGUGAGUCUGCUAUACACUAGAUGUAACUCGUCAAGAUCUAACGGUUAAUUAAUCAACGGAAAUCAUAAUCAUACAGCGUGUAUGUAGAUCACUAAUACA